RNAcentral lists this ribosomal RNA (448 nucleotides) under uncultured bacterium. RNAcentral's name for it is "bacterial SSU rRNA". It matches the Rfam family "Bacterial small subunit ribosomal RNA", at positions 355 to 796 of the family's 1533-position model. The record is from RNAcentral.
UUUCGAAUCAUUCACAAUGGGCGCAAGCCUGAUGGUGCGACGCCGCGUGAGGGAUGAAGGCCUUCGGGUUGUAAACCUCUGUCACUGGGGAGAAAACGCUUUGAGUUAAUAGCUCAAAGCCUGAUUUAACCCGGAGAGGAAGCAGUGGCUAACUCUGUGCCAGCAGCCGCGGUAAUACAGAGACUGCAAGCGUUAUUCGGAUUCACUGGGCGUAAAGGGUGCGCAGGCGGCCGAGUGUGUUAGAUGUGAAAUCCCGGGGCUCAACCCCGGAACUGCGUCUAAAACUACUUGGCUAGAGUAUUGGAGAGGGUAGCGGAAUUCACGGUGUAGCAGUGAAAUGCGUAGAUAUCGUGAGGAACACCAGAGGCGAAGGCGGCUACCUGGACAAUUACUGACGCUCAGGCACGAAAGCGUGGGGAGCAAAAGGGAUUAGAUACCCCCGUAGUCC